RNAcentral lists this ribosomal RNA (81 nucleotides) under uncultured bacterium. RNAcentral describes it as "partial 16S ribosomal RNA". The record is from RNAcentral.
UCAUGAAAGCCGGUUGUACCCGAAGUCGUCGUGCCAACUGCAAAGAGGCAGAUGCCGAAGGUAUGGCUGGUGAUUGGGAUG